Molecule: ribosomal RNA, 253 nt
Filed under: uncultured bacterium
Lineage: Bacteria
Description: partial 16S ribosomal RNA
Rfam family: Bacterial small subunit ribosomal RNA
Source: RNAcentral
UACAGAGGUCUCAAGCGUUGUUCGGAUUCAUUGGGCGUAAAGGGUGCGUAGGUGGCGCUGUAAGUCGGGUGUGAAAUUUCGGAGCUUAACUCCGAAACUGCAUUCGAUACUGCGGUGCUUGAGGACUGGAGAGGAGACUGGAAUUCAUGGUGUAGCAGUGAAAUGCGUAGAGAUCAUGAGGAAGACCAGUGGCGAAGGCGGGUCUCUGGGCAGUAACUGACGCUGAGGAGCGAAAGCGUGGGGAGCGAACAGG